AUUGAACGCUGGCGGCAGGCCUAACACAUGCAAGUCGAGCGGAUGAAGGGAGCUUGCUCCUGGAUUCAGCGGCGGACGGGUGAGUAAUGCCUAGGAAUCUGCCUGGUAGUGGGGGAUAACGUCCGGAAACGGGCGCUAAUACCGCAUACGUCCUGAGGGAGAAAGUGGGGGAUCUUCGGACCUCACGCUAUCAGAUGAGCCUAGGUCGGAUUAGCUAGUUGGUGGGGUAAAGGCCUACCAAGGCGACGAUCCGUAACUGGUCUGAGAGGAUGAUCAGUCACACUGGAACUGAGACACGGUCCAGACUCCUACGGGAGGCAGCAGUGGGGAAUAUUGGACAAUGGGCGAAGCCUGAUCCAGCCAUGCCGCGUGUGUGAAGAAGGUCUUCGGAUUGUAAAGCACUUUAAGUUGGGAGGAAGGGCAGUAAGUUAAUGCCUUGCUGUUUUGACGUUACCAACAGAAUAAGCACCGGCUAACUUCGUG
This 483-nucleotide ribosomal RNA is filed under the name uncultured bacterium. RNAcentral's name for it is "partial 16S ribosomal RNA". It matches the Rfam family "Bacterial small subunit ribosomal RNA", at positions 30 to 507 of the family's 1533-position model. The record is from RNAcentral.